AGCACCUCAUGCCCUUCCCAGUGAAGUCAGUGAAGCGAGUCGUAUUCCAUACUUGAGGAAAGGUACAACGGAAAGGUACAACUGAGUGGACAUCUAUUGAUAAAUAAAGGAGUGUCAUCACAGGACCACAAGGACUCUUCCUUCAGAUUAGCAGUCUAAAAGAACAUUUGGAGCAGCAAAGGCAGGGAAAGGCCACAGGUGAAAUACUAAUGUUGGUUUGUGAAAGAACAGUUUCACUGCAUUCAUAAAGAGGCUGCUGUUGACUUUGCAAAGGUGCACAUGAAGAACAAUGACUGAAGAGAAGGCAAACCACCACUCACUCACAGUGAGAUGGUGGAGGAAAGUCUCACAGGGCACCACAGAAAGAGAUCCUUUGAAAACUGUGUGAAAUGUUGGAAGAGGAUUUGGGAACAGAAGGAAAAGCAUCAAAACAGCAGUCUGAUUGGAGACAUUAAAAGGCUUGCAAGCAGCAUGACUUUAACUUCAAUAACUGGAGACACCCACGCCUGUAAGCACAGAGUGAGGGAGGAAGACCAAAUGAAGGCACCCAAUGCAGUGUAAUAAAUGCUGGGGGACUGCCUGGAAAAACUGAGGGAUGUCUAUGGUCUCUUCUAGUUGGUACUUGGAGAAGGUUCCUGAUGGGAUGACUUUCAGCUCCCAAAAACCUUUCAAGUUUGACCAUGCAGACAUGCUUGGAAGAAUGUCAGAUGAGUACACAUCUGUCCAAGACCUUUUACCAAACAGCAACACCUGGUUACCUUGUGUUACACCAUGAAGAAGCUAAUUAUGCACCCAAACCCAUCAGAGGUCACCUCUGAAGCUCUGAGAGUACACCAGAGCCAAACAGGAAUUCUAGGAUGGAAGAGAUCUUUGUCAGAAAAAGCCAAAUCGUUGGAACCAGAAUGUGUCUUGUAUCCAGGAUUCAGCUGCUUAAUGGACAUUAAUCAGCAUGUAAAGGCCUUUAUGAUGCAGCACCCAAGCCUGGAAAGGGGUCAGCAGGUGCACCCUGGAUGCCAACUGCCUGGCUGGGAGGGACAUCUGUUUGAUGAAGUAGAACAAUGCUGCUAGUAAUCCAGAGGCCGAAAUGGGCAAACUGCGAAAGAACAGGAGAUAGGCUGAAGGUGCCAACAGGAUUCUCGCAGAAGGAACAUUCAAGUAUGUAAUUGUUUGCAGGAUCUGGACCUACAAGAGGAGCUCAGAAGAACAAAGCACUUGGCUUCACCAAUGUCCCUUUUCAUUGCUUCUAAUGAAAGAUUCAUAAGAAUAACUUUAAUUUUUUAUGAUCUUUUUUUGCAUUACUGUAUUAGCUGCAUCUACUUUGUAUGCAAUUUCUUCUUAAAUACAGAAAACCUGUUUCAAAAUGCCAGACAUAAUAACUUAAUCAGUACAAUAAUUGAUCUUGAUUGUUGUGCAGUCCUUCUUAACAGUCAGGAAGUGAGAUGGAGCCCAGAAAAUGUUUUAUGUGAUUAUUUCUUCCCAUUGCAAAGUGAUGUAUUUGUGAAGAACGCAGGUGAAGGUCCACACUGGAGUUCUUCUUUUUUUUUUUUUUUUGAGAAAAAAAUCAAACACCCCCCCUCUAAUUUGCUAGUUAAACUGUUCAGUGGAAGAAUGAUUGUAUUUGUCCUUUUUGGCUUCGCCCAAUUAAUUGGAGCAGUAACAUAGAGAUUGUUAAUAAACAGCUCUAAUUUGACUGUACUUCUUGCCUAUCUACUAACCCCACCAUAUCUUUGUUUAGCAUAUCAUCAGGGAAAACAAGGAAGCAUGUAUAUAAUUUUGUUCUGUUGUAUAUGAAGUUUAAUAAUUAUGCCACAGUGGAUUCUAAAUUAAUCACAGAAGGCGCAACAAUAUUAAUAAUCUGUUUAGCAAACUCCAGUGUCUUUGCACUUUGAUGUUAGGAGCAGAGACAGUACAAACUGUGGCAGUUUUUAAAAUUGGGCGAGUGUUUGUUUCUUUUACAGCUUAUAUCAAUGUUUUCUUUUAUGCUUUUUCUACUGUGCACCUUGUUUCCCUCUAAGAAAAAAAAACAACAAACCACAAACCAAAACCACAGAACUCAACAAACAAGCCUGUGCUUAUUUGGGUGCGCUUGGAUCAAAGCUGACAGAUCGAAUUUUUCAUUUAUUUAACAAAGUUUCAUUGCAGCCAUUCCUCAUAAUUACAGCAGUGUUUUAAUUUUUUUCCUUCCCUUGAAUAGGAGAGAAGGGGUUCUGAGAAAGUUUUAAUUAGCUAAAUAGGUCUGUGUAAUCUAGAUGAAAUAAACACGCCCGUUUGAAAGGGUUGUUAGAACUUUUCCAGCCAUUUAAUCCAUAGAUGGCUGAACACAAUGAUACCUUCCACAGAAAGCUACAGCCACCACCAGCAGCUGUUAGAAGAGAGCUUGCUCCCUGCUCCUAUUGAUAACCCUUUGUGGAAUGAAGAAAAAGAGCUGAGGGAAGGAGAACUGAAUGUCAGACAAUAGACAUCGCUACACACACUGUCUCUGAACUUUCCUCAUCUCUGAAGGACAAUUAAUUAUGAAGGCCUUUGGGGUAGGUCGAAGCAAGGGAAAACCUACUGCUGGCCCAGCACUCCAGCCGCUAUCUCUGUGUUUGUUAAAUGGUUGUGCCUGUUGGGGAACCAGAGUAGCAGCCACCAAAAUAGCCAAUAGAUCAUUUAGGAAAAAAGAGCAAAAGAUUUUUUUUAUGUGUGUCUGUCCUUGUAUAAUUCUAUUCUCACUGUGAAAUCAUCCAUACACAAAACACAAGGACAAUUUUUUUUUUUUUUAGAAGAACCACAGGGUAGGUUACAGUCAGAAACGGCCUCUCAGUGGUGUGUUAAAAAGGAUGGUCUUUUCACCAAAUCAUUUCACAGAGGCAAAACAGACAAACACAAAGAGUUGAGACUUUUUCUCCUACAUUAAAUAGAGUAACUGAUAAGGUCAGACAUAUGAUACCUAAAGACAUGAAUCUGUGAACUCUUGAAGUCAAAGGACUUCUCUGUGCAAAGGAACAAUCUUUCAAAGGAAAUAGAUCAUAGAACUCCACUGAAUCCCCUUUAAACUUUAUGAAGCAGGAGGAGAAAAAGCUCUAAGUAGGGAAGCUUGACAGAAGAGCCUUGAACUAUUUUCUGAAGGAAAGAUGAGACCCUCCCUAGGCUGCCACAAAACAUCUUUUUUUUUCUAAAGGCUCUUCUGAACUUUGAUAUGUGCCAAGACACCGCUAUUGAAAGCUGUAUAAUUAUGUGCUAUAGCCACUGUAGAAAAUGCUUUGUUCACCACAACAAAGAACAAUAAGCAAAGUAAAGUGACAUUACACUGUAUCUUUUUCUUUAAGAAUGUUGAGAAAGGUCACGGUACGUUAUAACUAAUAAAGCUGUUGAGUAAGGAAGUUUAAAGUUGGGCUUGCUGUGCUUAAAUGCAACCCAAUGACAAAAAGGCAAAGGGAACUAAAAUUGUAAUGACAUUAAAAAAUAGAUCAUAUAUCAACAUGCCAACUUCAUUAUACAAACACCUUGAUUCCAAAGGACACAAACAGCAGACCCGGGCGUAGUGCUGCAAUAGCAUUCCUCUUGCAACUCUCCCCCUAACAGCUUCCAACUACGGUCUGCAGUUCAACUAACUGCAAAAACUGAUUAAUAAGCAUUAAUUGAUACAUGCAACGCACGGACCUUCUGUUGCAAGUCGUGGAUUUUGUUACUUGAUUAAAAACCAGGUUCAUGUCCUGUGCAGUUUCAAGGAAAGCUCUGCUGUUUCACAAGGGAGCCUCUUCAAAAUUAGAAGGGAAAAAAAAAAAAAAAGAAGAAAAGGAAAAAGGCCAGAGGGCAUCAAUUAAGUUUCCUGAAACCAAGAUUUUUAAGUGAAAAAGAAAUACCAUCUGGCCACCUAUGUUUCAGAGGACUCAGGACAGCUACAUUUGUUAUUCUCAAAUUGCCAGAGCAGCUUUACUCCCCUUGCUGCAGACCAGCAGACAGCAGCCUCCCGACUCUGUCUUUAAGAAGGCUGAGAACGAUGUUGAAACACUACAACAAUAAAGCCCUUGAAGGAGGAAGUAUACAGCUGAGGGAGAAAUGUGAGGAGUGGAAUACUGAAACAAACAACUGUCCCGUUGGGCUGUGCUCACUGCUGGUACCACCAGAAGCUUGGAGACUGCCACAGCAGGGCAGUUUGCAUGGAAAGAGCAACCUUCAGGAUGCAAGUUAGCAGGUUACAGACUUGAUUUUCACUUCUCUUGAGGCCACUUUGCACUGCUCCAGAGCAUUAGGGUGGUUAUAAACUGUACUUUACAGUGCCUAUGUGCUGCAAAACCACUCAAAAGUGGCCUUAGUUUAAAUGAGAAUCAGGUUUGAGGACUUUAAUUCUCCUUUUGAUGAGCACCAAUUCAGUUCGAGAUGAAUCCUGCAGAUGAAACUGGGGAAGAAUACAGGUUCCUAAAAUAAGCAUAUGAGUGGACAGCGUUUUUAUAAUUUAGGAUGCCUUAAUUUUUGGAUGCAGUGCUGGGCACACUUCAUUUUCAGGGAAUGGACUGUUGAGGACCUCCUGACAAAGUGACUCUUACCGAGCAUCCCAAAGUGAAAUUGAUCUAAAAUCAUCAUCACUUCUGAAAAUGUUGGCAGCCUGUGUUCCUCUCAAGGGCUUGUAGGCCGCUUACGUGACUGGGUUAUUGCUUAGAUUUUAUAGGUGCUGUUAUUUGACUUGUUUUACAUCAUCCCAUUGAUUUUUACGGGACUAACUCAGAGCGCCUUAAGUUAAACAUUCUGCUAAGACCUGAGUAUGACUGGUCUUAAUUAGGUUUUUCCCACUAGUAUGUUUUUCCCCUGCCAAAAGAAGUUCAAACUCCUUAAAAAUGGUUUUCUCCCCCUUGGAAACGACAUGUGCCGUAACUAGCGCUGUGAAACGAGGCAAUCCUCGCAUUGAGCCCCGCUGUACCAAAACUGCAGACAGUGUUUGUGCAAAUAACGCAGCUUGGCAGGCACCUCACUAUUGUGAUCCAUCUCAGUAACUACAUCUGCAAAAUCAGGCAAGUUCCCGUGAAGCAGCGAGCGGCUGAGCUCAGGAAGAUGGUGCAUGACCUCCCCAACCCAUGGAGGAGCGGGCAGAGGGGCACAGGGCGGAGCUGCCACCACAGAGACACCUUGACACUUCACAACUAGGGCUGAGUUGUUAAAUGCCCACUAGGAAAGGGAAUGGGCACUGUGCAGAGAGGCAUUAAUACGUGGAGAAUGAUGAUGACUGCUUAAAAAUGCCAGGGAACAAGGGUGACUGAGGAGUGGGAGACAGAGCAAGAUUAAAAUCCAGGUGUUGUCCUCAGGCCAGUUUCUUUUGGUUAAGUGCAUAAAUCUGAAAAUAAACCCUCUGUUUAAGUUUUUUAACUCAUGUUAAACUAAUCUUUGUUUCAGCUCAUGUUUUUCAACCAUAUUUCUAAUUUAACUCAGAGUGUGGUGUGUCCCUGGUUUUCAAUCUUCCUGCCAGCUCUGAUGACCAGUGUUAGGGCAGAUUCUGAGAGUUAUAAAAUUACUAAAUUUUUAUUUCCCUUUCUUUUUCCUUCAAUACAUAGCAACAAUACCUGACUUUAAUUAUUGCAGCUGGCAUUCAAAAGCCUAUGGCAACACUGCAGAUGAGACAGAUAUCAAGUGGCACAGCAAGCUGUCCUCUCCUUGUGACCAACCUGAGCUGGGACACUGACAUUUGUGGUUUUCAUUCACCAGGACACCCCACCUUCUUCCUCCCCAGAGGAAUGGCCCCAGAAUAAAGAAAAACCUUCACCUUCCAAAAAAAAAAAUCCCAAACUGUUUUUUUCUUUUUUUUUUUCCCCUUUAAAAACUCAAUCCCUAAUUGCUUUGUUCAGCUCAGCACAUGUUUCUCCAGCUAGCCCUACUGCAAGAGAGAAAAAUGUGGAACUCGCUGCACAUGUGUACACACAAAACACAGGCAAAGGUGCACUGCACUGGAGGAGGCCUUGGAUCUGUCUUUGGCUCACAGCCACAAGGGUACAAUGGCAAAGCUAAAAACGAUAGGACAUGUGGUUUGUUAAACAUCUUAUUUGACUUUGCUACAAGCUGUCAGUAGCAAUGCCCAGGGAAAGGAACACAGUAUCGCAAAUUCUUGAACAAAUCAAUGGCACAGCCUGAUAUGGACCAAACACACAUUCUAACUUUAGAAUUUUUUUCCCAAUAGUCAGUUUAGGCCUAUAUGCUUGAAGUAUAUGCAUGAAUGUGACCGAGGAACGGAUAAACAGAAGGGUUUAGGAAUGACAGCGUAGGUGAUUCAAGAGAAAUAGCAUAUCAGACUAAUCAGAAGAUCAGCAAAGCAUCAUUUAAGUAUGAGAGGAAGGAACUUUGAUGAUGCUAAAUAUGGCAAAUGCUCAGUUUGCUAAAUCCUUUUGGAUCCAAUUUCAACAUUACAGUACUUGUCAUUUUUGCUUUCCAGCUUGUGGGGGAGGGGAUGGGCAUUUAUCAGGAAAAGUUACAUUGUCUACGUUAAACGCUGUGCCACACUGCUUAAUGUUCUCAUAGCUGCUGGAUCCUCAGCAAAACCAAGACCUGAACUCUAGGAAAUUCUCGUUGCAGUACAGAACACAAGGAAGUCUAAACAAAUGAAUUUGCAAUCACCAUUUAUAAUAUCUCUUUCCCUCAACGAUGGAGGAAAACAAACCAAGGGGCUCCUUUCCAACCCACUGCAGGACCCUUGGCUCAGGAGACUGCAAUCACUAGCAGUACUAAACAUAUGAGAUUUAUGUUUUCUUAUCUACUUGAAAACACGUAUACACUCCCACAAUUCUUCACUGGAGUAAUCCACUUACAUUAACACCGGCACUAACGCUUUGAAAAUGAGUAAUAAGUGUCUGAAAUCAUCAAGAGUAUGAGAACUUUUGAGCACAUUUCAACCUUCAAGGAACAUUUCAAUCUAUGUUCUAUAAACAGAAAAAUAUUAGUAAGAAAAAAACUUGAGGGAAUCUAAGCACAAGGAAAAGGUUGGUCACACUUAUGACCUCGUGUAUUUCCUUUUCUGUUCCUGUAUUCAGUGACUGUGGCUUGGCAUCAGGGCAGACCUACAUCCCAGGGGUGGGAGUCUCCUCUCUUGUGCCUGCUUGAGUUCCUAGCAGGGCCAGAGCCCUUAGGAGUGCCUGGGGGGUCAUGGCACACCAAAAAUAGCCUAGAUGUUGCUGUCAUCCACCAUGCAUGGCAAAACCUUUGAGGAACACGCUCUUCUCCCCUCUUCCUUCAUCCACCCCUUCCACUCAACCACCCUUCCCGAAAACUCUGCCAGCCCAGAAGAGGAAGAAACAACCAAGAAAGAUGACAAAGUCUUCGCUUACGCUUUUUGCAUCAUCUGAACUUAUGUGCCAUGAGAACAAGCCCUGCUAAAAAUCCAUCAGAAGGAUUUUAGGCAGGAAUUCACCUCAUGCUGGCAAAUGUCACUCUUGCUACAGGAGGGGGAUCAUUAUGCAACUUGACCCCGAGUGAAUGGUGCAGACAAAAAAAAAAUUAAUAAUUAGUACCACCAUUGCUUUCCCACUCCACCAAGAGAUGGGAUUACUCGAGUCUCCCCCACAUGCACACCCUGUUCAAAUGCAUCAUUACAUCUGACUACCUGAACAAUGCAAACUGCCAUCCUCAGCAGGGAGAAACACUCUCCCGUGGUAUCACCGAGGGUCAGCAUGUUAAUGAUAACAAUAGUCUGCUGAGCUACCAGGCUGGCCUGUAAACAGGAAUCUUAAUCAAAGCCACAAACCUGUUACAGCAGAAAACAGAGCAUUUACUUCAAGUACUCAUUUUAUCCUGCAGUUGGACAAAGCAAAUGCAUUUUUGUUCUGUAAAUCAAAUGAAGAAAAGCAGAGUGUUUGAUCACACAAUUAGGGAGCUCUUGAAGAGCUGUGAGGUGAUUUCUUUUACUACUGUCCCUCCUAAAGGAAACUUCAAAAGUUGAAACUAAGAAACUUAUAAAAAAAGUAAAAACUUUUAUCUCUCAUCAGGUCCUAGUGAGGCAUAAGUCUCCAGCUACCAGGGCUAAAAAGAUUAAUUAGCAUCAUUCAGGGAUGUGGAAUGCAAAGAUUUCACUGGCCACGGCCACAUUAAAAAGGUACAUUAUUUUAAAGGCAGCCUGGACCUCGGAGCAACUCACACACACAGAGAAACAAAGAUCAG
Long non-coding RNA from Catharus ustulatus (Swainson's thrush), 8121 nucleotides. RefSeq lists it as uncharacterized. The record is from RefSeq and is a predicted model, not a curated record. The transcript has 9 exons. Lineage: Eukaryota; Metazoa; Chordata; Aves; Passeriformes; Turdidae.